Molecule: ribosomal RNA, 482 nt
Filed under: uncultured bacterium
Lineage: Bacteria
Description: partial 16S ribosomal RNA
Rfam family: Bacterial small subunit ribosomal RNA
Source: RNAcentral
GAUGAACGCUGGCGGCGUGCCUAAUACAUGCAAGUCGAACGCUUCACUUCGGUGAAGAGUGGCGAACGGGUGAGUAAUACAUAAGUAACCUGGCAUCUACAGGGGGAUGACUGAUGGAAACGUCAGCUAAGACCGCAUAGGUGUAGAGAUCGCAUGAACUCUAUAUGAAAAGUGCUACGGGACUGGUAGAUGAUGGACUUAUGGCGCAUUAGCUUGUUGGUAGGGUAACGGCCUACCAAGGCGACGAUGCGUAGCCGACCUGAGAGGGUGACCGGCCACACUGGGACUGAGACACGGCCCAGACUCCUACGGGAGGCAGCAGUAGGGAAUUUUCGGCAAUGGGGGAAACCCUGACCGAGCAACGCCGCGUGAAGGAAGAAGUAAUUCGUUAUGUAAACUUCUGUCAUAGAGGAAGAACGGUGGAUAUAGGGAAUGAUAUCCAAGUGACGGUACUCUAUAAGAAAGCCACGGCUAACUACGUG